RNAcentral lists this unclassified non-coding RNA (402 nucleotides) under soil metagenome. RNAcentral describes it as "partial contains 5.8S ribosomal RNA, internal transcribed spacer 2, and large subunit ribosomal RNA". The stretch from base 1 to 121 matches the Rfam family "5.8S ribosomal RNA", at positions 35 to 154 of the family's 154-position model. The record is from RNAcentral.
GAUGAAGAACGCAGCGAAAUGCGAUAAGUAAUGUGAAUUGCAGAAUUCAGUGAAUCAUCGAAUCUUUGAACGCACCUUGCGCCCUUUGGCUAUUCUGAAGGGCAUGCCUGUUUGAGUAUCAUGAACACCUCAACUCUCAUGGUUUGCCAUGAUGAGCUUGGACUUUGGGGGUCUUGCUGGCCUACGGUCAGCUCCUCUCAAAUGAAUCAGCUUGCCAGAGUUUGGUAGAGUCGCAGGUGUGAUAACUAUCUACGCUUGUGGUUUUCUGCCAGAUAACCUUCAGUGAUGGAGGUUCGCUGGAGCUUAUAAAUGUCUCUCCCCAGUGAGGACAGCUUUUUGAACGUUUGAUCUCAAAUCAGGUAGGACUACCCGCUGAACUUAAGCAUAUCAAUAAGCGGAGGA